CCUACGGGAGGCUGCAGUGGGGAAUAUUGCGCAAUGGGCGAAAGCCUGACGCAGCGACGCCGCGUGAGGGAUGAAGGUCUUCGGAUCGUAAACCUCUGUCAGCAGGGAAGAACGGUCACUGUGCUAAUCAGCAGUGAAUUGACGGUACCUGCAAAGGAAGCACCGGCUAACUCCGUGCCAGCAGCCGCGGUAAUACGGAGGGUGCGAGCGUUAAUCGGAAUUAUUGGGCGUAAAGCGCUCGUAGGCGGUAUGUCAAGUCAAGGGUGAAAUCCCCGCGCUCAACGUGGGAACUGCCUUUGAAACUGGCAAACUGGAGUGUGUAAGAGGAUAGUGGAAUUCGAGGUGUAGGAGUGAAAUCCGUAGAUAUCUGGAAGAACAUCAGUGGCGAAGGCGACUAUCUGGCACAUGACUGACGCUGAGGCGCGAAAGCGUGGGUAGCAAACAGGAUUAGAUACCCUAGUAGUC
This 465-nucleotide ribosomal RNA is filed under the name uncultured bacterium. RNAcentral's name for it is "partial 16S ribosomal RNA". It matches the Rfam family "Bacterial small subunit ribosomal RNA", at positions 338 to 795 of the family's 1533-position model. The record is from RNAcentral.